This 225-nucleotide long non-coding RNA is filed under the name Lathyrus oleraceus (garden pea). Its description in RNAcentral is "Pisum sativum (pea) long non-coding RNA (PSAT_LNC042267)". The record is from RNAcentral. Lineage: Eukaryota; Viridiplantae; Streptophyta; Magnoliopsida; Fabales; Fabaceae.
UAUCCCUUAAAAGUUCUCACGCAUCGGGGGCGGAGAAGUAAUUGAUUUUGAAAAAUGUCUCAAUGCAAUAAAGCGGAGGACUUAUAGUUUGAGGUGAGUUUAGAUUGAUUUUAUCCCUUUUAUCCCUUGCAAAAAUAUUGUUUUAAUUUAUUUGAGAAAAUAAAUUAGGAGUCAUAGUUAUGUAUUAGAUGUAAUCCUUUAUCCCGAUUUUAUCCCCAAUUUAAC